GGUUUCCUUUGUUGUGAAAAAGCUUGUACGUUUGAUUAGGUCCCAUUGGUUUAUUUUUGCUUUUAUUUCUGUUGCUUUGGGAGACUGACCUGAGAAAACAUGUGUAAGGGUGAUAUCUGAGAAUGUUUUGCCUAUGUUCUCUUCUAGGGUUUAAUGGUGUCUUGCCUUACAUUUAAAUCUUUCAGCCAUUUUGAGUUUAUUUUUGUGCAUGGUGUGUUCCAGUUUCAUUGCUUUGCAUGCAGCUGUCCAGGUUUCCCAGCACCACUUUCUUAAAAGACUGUCUUCUUCCCAUUUUAUGUUCUUGCCUCCUUUGACAAAGAUUAAUUGACCAUAGGUGUCUGGGUUCAUUUCUGGGAUCUCUAUUCUGUUCCAUUGGUCUGUAUGUCUGUUUUGGUACCAUACCACACUGUUUUGAUGACUGUGGCUUUGUAGUAUUUCUUGAAGUCUGGGAGAGUUAUGCCUCCUGCUUGGUUUUUGUUUCUCAGGAUUGCUUUGGCGAUUCUGGGUCUUUUGUGGUUCCAUAUAAAUGUUUGGAUUGUUUGUUCUAGUUCUGUGAAAAAUGUCAUGGGUAAUUUGAUAGGGAUUGCAUUGAAUCUGUAGAUUGCUUUGGGUAGUAUGGCCAUUUUUACAAUAUUGAUUUUUCCAAUCCAGGAACAUGGAAUAUCUUUCCAUUUCUUUACAUCUUCUUUGAUUUCUUUGAUUAAAGUUUUAUAGUUCUCGGCAUAUAGGUCCUUUACCUCCUUGGUCAGGUGUAUUCCGAGGUAUUUGAUUUUGUGAGGUGCAAUUUUAAAAGGUAUCGUAUUUUUGUAUUCCUUUUCUAAUGUUUCAUUGCUGGUAUACAGAAAUGCAACUGACUUCUGAAUGUUAAUCUUAUAUCCUGCUACUUUGCUGAAUUUAUUAAUCAGUUCAAGGAGUUUUGGGGUUGAGUCCUUAGGGUUUUCUAGGUAUAGUAUCAUGUCAUCUGCAUACAGUGACAGUUUGAUCUCUUCUCUUCCUAUAUGGAUGCCUUUUAUUUCUUUUGUUUGUCUAAUUGCUGUGGCUAGGACUUCCAAAACUAUGUUGAAGAGCAGUGGUGAGAGUGGGCAUCCCUGUCUUGUUCCAGAUUUGAGUGAGAAGGCUUUCAGUUUUUCCCCAUUGAGGAUUAUAUUUGCUGUGGGUUUAUCAUAAAUGGCUUUGAUUAUAUUCAGGAAUGUUCCCUCUAUACCCACUUUGGCGAGGGUCUUGAUCAUGAAUGGAUGUUGAACUUUGUCAAAUGCUUUUUCUGCGUCUAUUGAGAUGAUCAUAUGAUUUUUGACUUUUUUUUUGUUAAUGUGGUGUAUGAUGCUGAUUGAUUUGCGUAUGUUGAACCAUCCUUGUGAACCUGGGAUGAACCCAACCUGGUCAUGGUGUAUAAUUUUUUUGGUAUGUUGUUGGAUUCGGUUGGCUAAGAUUUUGUUGAGAAUUUUUGCAUCUAUAUUCAUCAAUGAUAUUGGGCGAUAGUUUUCUUUUUUGGUGGUAUCUCUGUCUGGUUUUGGAAUGAGGGUGAUGGUGGCCUCAUAGAAUGUCUUUGGGAGUAUUCCUUCUUCUUCAACCUUUUGAAAGAGUUUAAGGAGGAUGGGCACCAAUUCCUCUUUAUAUGUUUGAUAGAAUUCACCUGUGAAGCCAUCUGGUCCUGGACUUUUAUUUGUAGGGAGUGAUUUUAUGACCUCUUCAAUUUCAUUUCUAGUGAUCGGUCUGUUCAGUUGGUCUGUUUCUGCUUGAUUCAGUUUUGGCAGGCUGUAAGAUUCUAGAAAAUUGUCCAUUUCUUCCAGAUUGUCAAACUUGUUGCCAUAUAGUUGUUCAUAGUAUUCUCUUAUGGUUUUUUGUAUUUCUGCUGUAUCCGUUGUGAUUUCUCCUUUUUCAUUUAUAAUUUUGGUUAUUUGGGUUCUUUCUCUCCUCUUUUUAGUGAGUCUGGCCAGGGGUUUGUCAAUUUUGUUCACCUUUUCAAAGAACCAGCUCUUGGUUUUAUUAAUUUUCUCUAUUGUUUUUUGAGUCUCUAUUUUAUUGAUUUCUUCUUUGAUCUUUAUAAUUUCCUUCCUUCUGCUGACUUUAGGACUUUUUUGUUCUUCUUUUUCUAAUUCGUUUAGGUGGUGGGUUAAGUUGUCGAGUUGAGAUUUUUCUUCUUUUGGGGGGAAGGCCUGUAUUGCUAUGAACUUCCUUCUGAGCACUGCUUUUGUGGCAGCCCAUAGAUUUUGAGUGGUUGUGUCUUUAUUAUUAUCAUUUGUCUCGAGGUAUUUUUUUUUUAAUUUCCUUCUUGAUUUCCUCAUUGACCCAUUGGUUUUUUAGUAGCAUGUUGUUUAGUCUCCAUGUACUGGGUUUUUUUCUCAUUUCUUUCCCUGUGGUUGAUUUCUAGUUUCAUGCCAUUAUGGUCAGGGAAGAUACUUGGAUCCAUUUCCAUACUUUUAAAUUUUUUGAGGUUAUCUUUGUGCCCCAAUAUGUGGUCAAUUCUUGAGAAUGUUCCAUGUGCACUUGAGAUGAAUGUGUAUUCUGAUUGUCUUGGAUGUAAUGUCCUGAAAAUGUCGAUUAAGCCUAACUUUUCUAUUGUUUCCUUUAGGAUCUCUGUUGCUUUAUUAAUUUUCUGUCUAGAGGAUCUGUCCAUUGAUGUGAGUGGGGUAUUAAAGUCUCCUACUAUGAUUGUAUUCCCAUCAGUUUCUCUUUUUAUGUCUGUUAGUAUUAGUUGUAGGUAUCUGGGUGCUCCUAUAUUAGGGGCAGAUAUAUUGAUGAUUGUAAUAUUCUCUUCUCGAAUGGAUCCUUUUACCAUUAAAUAGCGUCCUUCUUUGUCUUUCUUUAAAGCUUAUUUUGUCUGACAUGAGUGCUGCUACUCCUGCUUCCCUGUCUUGUCCAUUGGGAUGAAAUAUCUUUUCCCAUCUGCUCACUUUCAAUCUACAUGUAUCCUUUGCCCUAAGGUGAGUUUCUUGUAGACAGCAGAUUGAAGGUUUUUUCUUUUUUAUCCAAUCUGCCUCUCUGUGUCUUUUGAUUGGAGCAUUCAGUCCAUUGACAUUUAAGGUGAUUCUUGAUAGACAUUUAUUUAUUGCCAUUUUAAGCCUUCUUUUCCAGUUGAUUCUUGGUUUCUGUUUUCUUUUUUUGGUUAUUUUAUACUGAUUUAUAUUUAUUUUAUACUUGAGUAUUUUUCUUUUCAGUUUUUGUAAAUGUUAUGUUUGGCUAUGAUUUGUGGUUUCCUUGUUUUUUAAGUAUGUUAAUACCUUCCUAUAUCUGCUUACUUUAGCCUGAUAAUCAUAUAGGCUCAAACA
Molecule: long non-coding RNA, 3269 nt
Filed under: Sus scrofa (pig)
Lineage: Eukaryota; Metazoa; Chordata; Mammalia; Artiodactyla; Suidae
Description: lncRNA (ENSSSCG00065004747.1)
Source: RNAcentral